RNAcentral lists this unclassified non-coding RNA (279 nucleotides) under plant metagenome. RNAcentral's name for it is "partial contains small subunit ribosomal RNA, internal transcribed spacer 1, and 5.8S ribosomal RNA". The stretch from base 1 to 54 matches the Rfam family "Eukaryotic small subunit ribosomal RNA", at positions 1778 to 1831 of the family's 1831-position model. The record is from RNAcentral.
GGAAGUAAAAGUCUUAACAAGGUUUCCGUAGGUGAACCUGCGGAAGGAUCAUUAUCGUAAAACCGAGGUGCGAGGGCUGUCGCUGACCUUUUCGGUCGUGCACGCCUGAGCGCUCUCACACAAUCCAUCUCACCCCUUGUGCACCGCCGCGUGGGUCCCUUUCUGGCUCGUCCGGAGGGGGGCUCGCGUUUUCACACAAACUUGAAGUAGUGUAGAAUGUCCUUUUUUUGCGAUAACACGCAAUCAAUACAACUUUCAACAACGGAUCUCUUGGCUCUC